Molecule: ribosomal RNA, 460 nt
Filed under: uncultured bacterium
Lineage: Bacteria
Description: partial 16S ribosomal RNA
Rfam family: Bacterial small subunit ribosomal RNA
Source: RNAcentral
ACGAACGCUGGCGGCGUGCUUAACACAUGCAAGUCGAGCGGAAAGGCCCUUCGGGGUACUCGAGCGGCGAACGGGUGAGUAACACGUGAGUAACCUGCCCCAGACUUUGGGAUAACCCUCGGAAACGGGGGCUAAUACCGGAUACGACACAGCUUCGCAUGGGGUCUGUGUGGAAAGUUUUUCGGUUUGGGAUGGGCUCGCGGCCUAUCAGCUUGUUGGUGGGGUGAUGGCCUACCAAGGCGACGACGGGUAGCCGGCCUGAGAGGGCGACCGGCCACACUGGGACUGAGACACGGCCCAGACUCCUACGGGAGGCAGCAGUGGGGAAUAUUGCACAAUGGGCGGAAGCCUGAUGCAGCGACGCCGCGUGAGGGAUGACGGCCUUCGGGUUGUAAACCUCUUUCAGCAGGGACGAAGCGUAAGUGACGGUACCUGCAGAAGAAGCGCCGGCCAACUACGU